CAUCACUUGAACAUCUAACUUGGUCCUACCUGUUUAUCGGUAAUUGGGUGGGGAAAAUAACAUGUACAACUUACCUGUCAUGGGGCGGGCUAAUACUCGCCUCUGUGUCCUUUAUAAAAUCAUGAUUUUAUGUCAUGUAAUUAGUAAAAUCUGGUAAUUUUAUUAAAGGACACGGAGGCUCAUAUUAGGCUAGUUUAAAGCUGUGAUAUAACCAUAGAUGAGAUAUGUUCUGUUGGUUGGAAGUAGUAUUUUUUGAACGUCGAUUCCCGGGACCAAUCAGCUGUGCGGAGAAGGUCUUCCAAUUUACAGCCAAUGGAUAAUGCCUUAGAGGCCAUAGCGCCUCUCGUGAAGUGAGCUCCGUAAACUGAUGUGUCGAGGUUAGCAGCUUACAUUAUCC
This is a non-coding RNA of Pelobates cultripes (western spadefoot toad), 397 nucleotides long. NCBI's taxonomy places the organism in Eukaryota, Metazoa, Chordata, Amphibia, Anura, Pelobatidae. The record is from the annotation of a GenBank genome assembly.